UGGCGGCAGGCCUAACACAUGCAAGUCGAGCGGAAACGAGUUAACUGAACCUUCGGGGAACGUUAACGGCGUCGAGCGGCGACGGGUGAGUAAUGCCUGGGAAAUUGCCCUGAUGUGGGGGAUAACCAUUGGAAACGAUGGCUAAUACCGCAUAAUAGCUUCGGCUCAAAGAGGGGGACCUUCGGGCCUCUCGCGUCAGGAUAUGCCCAGGUGGGAUUAGCUAGUUGGUGAGGUAAGGGCUCACCAAGGCGACGAUCCCUAGCUGGUCUGAGAGGAUGAUCAGCCACACUGGAACUGAGACACGGUCCAGACUCCUACGGGAGGCAGCAGUGGGGAAUAUUGCACAAUGGGCGCAAGCCUGAUGCAGCCAUGCCGCGUGUAUGAAGAAGGCCUUCGGGUUGUAAAGUACUUUCAGCAGUGAGGAAGGCGGGUACGUUAAUAGCGUAUUCGUUUGACGUUAGCUGCAGAAGAAGCACCGGCUAACUCCGUG
This 490-nucleotide ribosomal RNA is filed under the name uncultured bacterium. RNAcentral describes it as "bacterial SSU rRNA". It matches the Rfam family "Bacterial small subunit ribosomal RNA", at positions 37 to 507 of the family's 1533-position model. The record is from RNAcentral.